GUCGAACGCGAAACCUUCCUUCGGGAGGGGAGUAGAGUGGCGCACGGGUGAGUAACACGUAGGUAAUUUGCCUUCGGGUGGGGAAUAACAGCCGGAAACGGCUGCUAAUACCGCAUAAUGCAGCGGCUCGACAUCGAGACAGUUGUUAAAGCGGGGGAUCGCAAGACCUCGCGCCUGAAGAGAAGCCUGCGGCGGAUUAGCUUGUUGGUAGGGUAAUGGCCUGCCAAGGCGACGAUCCGUAACCGGCCUGAGAGGGCGGUCGGUCACACUGACACUGACAUACGGGUCAGACUCCUACGGGAGGCAGCAGUCGGGAAUUUUGGGCAAUGGGCGAAAGCCUGACCCAGCAACGCCGCGUGAAGGAUGAAAUCCCUCGGGAUGUAAACUUCGCAAGAAUGGGAAGAAUAAGUGCGGGCUAAUACCACGCACGAUGACGGUACCAUUUGUAAGCUCCGGCUAACUCCGUGCCAGCAGCCGCGGUAAUACGGGGGGAGCAAGCGUUGUUCGGAUUUACUGGGCGUAAAGGGCGCGUAGGCGGCCACGACAAGUCACUUGUGAAAUCUCCGGGCUUAACUCGGAACGGUCAAGUGAUACUGUCGGGCUAGAGUGCAGAAGGGGCAACUGGAAUUCUCGGUGUAGCGGUGAAAUGCGUAGAUAUCGAGAGGAACACCUGCGGCGAAGGCGGGUUGCUGGGCUGACACUGACGCUGAGGCGCGAAAGCCAGGGGAGCGAACGGGAUUAGAUACCCCGGUAGUCCUGGCCUUAAACGAUGAAUGCUUGGUGUCUCGGGU
Molecule: ribosomal RNA, 791 nt
Filed under: uncultured bacterium
Lineage: Bacteria
Description: bacterial SSU rRNA
Rfam family: Bacterial small subunit ribosomal RNA
Source: RNAcentral